Molecule: long non-coding RNA, 1242 nt
Organism: Chenopodium quinoa (quinoa)
Lineage: Eukaryota; Viridiplantae; Streptophyta; Magnoliopsida; Caryophyllales; Amaranthaceae
Exons: 3
Source: RefSeq, a predicted model, not a curated record
UCUUGCAACCAUCAAUUUAACUAAAAGCUAGAAAUAGGGACAACCACUUGUGACAAAAGUUCAAUACAAAACUAAUAGUGUACAUCUAGUAUAGUAGUACCUCUUCUAAAAGAUUUUCCUUAAACUAUGGAUCUCAUAUCAACCAAUUACUGGCUAACGUCUUCUUUUUUUCUUACCUUAAAAAAAUUAAAAAAAAAAAAAAUUACCAACCACGUAUCAAGGACUUAAGAGUUCAUUACACAUUACAUGCAUACAAUUGUCAACUUUCAUGUGAUGCAAAAACUAUUUAUACCUCUCUUUAUCCUUGGAAGCAAAUCAUCCAAAAUUCAGUGUUUUCAAAAGACUUAAAACAACAAUUCACAUCUCCUCUCAAAGAAAUUUUCAGAAAAUGAAUAACUCGUCUGAAAAUCUUGGUUUCCAUGCUGGUGAGGCCAAGGGCCAAGCCAAGGAGAAGACUAGCAACAUCUCAGAAAAGGCUACCAAUGCUGCCCAAUCUGCCAAGGAAUCAUGCCAAGAGACUGGAGCACAAAUGCAAGCUAAAGCGCAAGGCGCUAUGGAAGCAGUGAAGGAUUCCAUGAGCAGCAGCAAAUAGAUGAGGCAGUUAUGUUUCGAAAAUCAUCAGCCAUUGAAGAAGCUUAGCUUGAUUGUGCCAGAUUUUCUAGGGCCUUUUUUUUUUUUUUUUUUUUUUUUUUUUUUUUGGUUUUCUCUUAGCAAUUUUGUUUAUCUUGUAUGCUCUAUUUAAGAAGCCAUGCAAUUAAUAAUCUAGUUUACGUUUAAAUGAAAAGUCCUGUGAGUUACAAGUAUACGUUUUACCGCAUUUAAUCUCUUAUAUGAAGUUUUAAUGCAAUUACCCCGUAUAAUAUAUAAACAUCAAUCCUUAAGCUAGCGCAAGUACACAAAAUUAAUUGUGGAUGAGAUUAUAAGAAUCUCGUUUGAUUUGAGCGUGUUAUUAGGCUUUAACAAGAGCUAGUUAGAGUAAUACUGUGUCACACACGUUUAAAUCUCAAUAUUAGCAUAUAUAUGAGCAAAUUAAUUAAACAAUACUCGUAUAAUUGAUUAAGUAGUGUACGCACAUGUAAAUAAUUAAUUUGUUAAACUUCUUCUUCUUUUUUUUUUCCCCCCUUAGGUUAUAAAUAAACCGUCGAGUUAUGUAUGUACCUUUGCAAGUUACAACAUAAGGAGGAUUUGAUAAGUAGUACUCUGUACUUUGUUAAUUAGUUGAAAAAAUCAUCCUACUAAUUU